AGUGGGACGUGUUGCUUUGAUUAAUAUUGCCAUAAAGACUGCCGAAAAUGGGUGUGGUACGGAAACCCAGAAAUGGCAUGAGCUCAACAUCAAACAUGGAUUAGAAUUUUACCGGUGGAUCAAGUCAAGUCUGGAAGUGUUACAGGAUGGAAGAGUUGGCCUAUAGUUGAAAAAACAUUGAGAGUGCAUUACCGUUAAGGUAUGAGGUAAAGUAAUAGAGUAUGCAAAUUGUCUAAUGAGAAGUACCAUCUUGUGUGAAUGAAUCCUGUAUAACAGCAAUCCUUUAUAGUUCUGUCAAAGCUAGAAGCCUCAAAUAAUUCUGCUUCUCUUGCUAAAGAACAACUUGUCCCUUACGUUCAAAGUGUUGGUGAAACUGGGUACUUAAAUGGCCCUAAAAAUGUUUCACUUCGCUGGCAUUGCAGCGAUGAACAUCAUACAUGGAAUCUUUAGGAAAGGAUUUUCAGCAUACUGGGAACACAACUACCAACAAUGCAACAUUCUACGGGUGCUAUUUUAUCAUUAACAAGCCUUAUACAAUGAUUUUCAUCUGCAAUUUGUAUGGCCUUUCCCAAGCUUCUGCCAGAAGUUGAAUCUAUGAGUCAUGUAAGUCCCAUGAGCAACAAUUGAGAUGCUUAAUGGUGUUGUUUUUCUUUUCUCAGUAUAGGUUAAUAGUAACAUUGGAUCUGAAAAGAUUCUUGGUUGGGGCAAGACACUGAAUAAAUUGCAAUGAUUGGAUGGAUGACAUGACAUUUCUGUACUUCAUUCGGAUUCCCGAGACGGUAUUUUAUAUUUAAAAAAUUGAAGUGCAUAUAUGGGCUCCCUUCCUUUCCGUAGCCCCGUUUCCCCUUGACUCGUAAUAAGCCCGUAGGGGGUCAUGCCCCUACUGUACGGUAUAUAUAAAAACAACAUAUACCGAGGUUUGGAGGGCUCUGGCCGGAAAGGGGACGUGGGGUGCCGCUUAGUCCGAUGAUGUGUUCACGGAGGGCGACGUGGCUACCCACAAAUCCGAACUAAAGGUUAAUCGCUCCUGUAAAAAUGUUCCAAAUCUUCAGCUCUUCUUCCGGCUUCUCUUAGCCAAUCACCGGGUAAUCUCCCCGGUGGGUCAACAAGGCAGUGUCUCCCCCUGCCUGGGUUGAC
Molecule: long non-coding RNA, 1137 nt
Organism: Daphnia carinata
Lineage: Eukaryota; Metazoa; Arthropoda; Branchiopoda; Diplostraca; Daphniidae
Exons: 3
Source: RefSeq, a predicted model, not a curated record